UAAGACUUGAGUUGAUCUCAAUUGUCUUCUCUGUUGAAAUAGUUGUUAUAUUUCUGAAUAGCAGAGUUCUAUCCAAAUUAUCCACAUAACCAUCCAAUUAUUCAACGUAAUCCAUCAUCAAUAUAAUCCACUGCAUCAUUCAGGUAUAAUCUUAUCUUAAUCUUUCUUAAUUCCGUCAUGUUGUUAAAUUUGAUAUCAGAGCAAUUAAUCCGUCAUCAUGUUAUUUUGAAUUUGGUAUCAGAGCUAAGUAACGUUCUUACUAUUAUUUUGAAUGUUAAAUCUUUCAUUCAUAUGAAUAUUAAUCGUUACAAACAUUCAUCGUUAUAAGUUAUAAACUCAUUAUUAAAAUCAAAUAUUAUUAUCCACCUACAAUUUAAACAUAUGUCGGUAGAAGUUUUUUUACAAUUAUGACUACGUACCAAGAAGUUAGAAAUACAUUUCAUAUGUCAAAAAAGUUUUUAAUUCUCUGACUGCAUCAUAAAUAUAAUAGUAUUAAAAACCCCACCAUCAACAUCUUAUUAGAAUUUAUAAAUCAUAACUUUGAGAAAAAAACUUAUCAUUUUGUUUCUAAAAAUUAUAAUCAUAAGUUUUUCAAAUUUAAAUAUUAACAAAUAAAAAAUCUUGAAAAUAAAAUAACAAGAAUAAUUUAUAAAUAUGUCUCAAGAAAUAGAACAUACACCAAUCAUUAUUAAUAACGAAGAAAAUGAAUCGGGAUACACUUUUGAUGCUCUAAUUAAUAAAAAUAAUAUUAAUAAAGAUGCUAUAAGAAAAUUAAAUUUUACACUAUCUGAAAAACAUAAUUUUAAAUAUAACUCAUUGAGAGAAGAUUAUACAUGAAUGAUGUCGUGGAUUAUAUUGAUGCUGGAUUAUGUUGAAUGAUUGGAUGAUUAUGUGGAUAAUUUGGAUAGGGCUCUGCUAUUUAGAAAUAGAACAACUAUUUCAACAGAGAAGACAAUUGAGAUCAACUCAAGUCUUAAACACUUUCAUAUGGGCAAAGGCCUAUUUAUAGGNAUCAAGAGAGUCGGUUACAAUUAUUGUUGCAAUCGUUUGAUUGCAAUACGACAUACAUAUUUACAUUAUAGCCCCCUAAACUAUUGAGGGUUACACACUUUAUGUUACAUCACAAAUAAUACAACCGACACUUAAUAAUUAUCCUACCGACACUUCUAUUUAAUUACGUAAAAAUAACAAUCCUUAAUUUAAGACACAUGUCCUUUCAACGUGGAAGGGAUUGUUAUUUUUACGUAAUUAAAUAGAAGUCUCGGUAGGAUAAUCAUUAAGUGUCCGUUGUAUUAUUUGUGAUGUAACAUAAUGUGUGUAACCCACAAUAGUUUAGGGGGCUAUAAUGUAAAUAUGUAUGUCGUAUUGCAAUCAAACGAUUGCAACAAUAAUUGUAACCGGCUCUCUUGAGCAUCAAAAGAGUAUUCCAGUUCAUUUUCUUCGUUAUUAAUAAUGAUGGGUGUAUAUUUUAUUUCUUGAGACAUAUUUAAUAAAUUAUUCUUGUUAUUUUGUCUUCAAGAUUUUUUCUUCGUUAAUAUUUAAACUUGAAAAACUCAUGAUUAUAAUUUUUAAAAAUGAUAAUUUAUUUUUUCUUCCAAAGUUACGAUUUAUAAAUUCUAAUAAGAUGUUGAUGGUGGGGUUUUUUAAUACUAUUAUAUUUAUGAUGAAGUUAGAGAACUAAAAACCUCUUUGACAUAUGAAAUGUGUUUCUAACUUCUUGGUACAUAGUCAUAAUUGUAAAAAACCUUCUACCGACAUAUGUUUAAAUUGUAGGUGGAUAGUAGUAUUUGAUUUUAAUAAUGAGUUUAUGAUAAUAACUUAUAACGAUGAAUGUUUGUAACGAUGAAUAUUUAUAAGAAUAUAUAUGAUGAUGCAUGAUGAACAUAUAUUCAUAUGAACGGAAGAUUUAAUAUUCAAAAUAAUAGUAAGAACGUUACUUAGCUCUGAUACCAAAUUUAAAAUAACAUGAUGACAGAUUAAUUGCUUUCAUACCAAAUUUAAAGCGAUGACGGAAUUAAUAAAGAUUAAGAGAAUAUUAUACCUGAAUAAUGCGGUGGAUUAUCUUGAUGAUGGAUUAUGUUGAAUAAUUGGAUGGUUAUGUGGAUAAUUUGGAUAGAACUCUGCUAUUCAGAAAUAGAACAACUAUUUCAACAGAGAAGACAAUUGAGAUCAACUCAAGUCUUAAACACUCAAACUUAAAUUGUUUAUUUCAUAUGGGCAAAGGCCCGAUUCAUAGGCUCAAGAGAGCCGGUUACAAUUAUUGUUGCAAUCGUUUGAUUGCAAUACGACAUACAUAUUUAUAUUAUAGCCCCCUAGACUAUUGAGGGUUACACACUUUAAGUUUGGCAAUUACAAUUACAUCAAUCUCACCCAUACCUCAAGUAUAUCAAAAGUGCCAACAACCAUAUAGCAGACACACUAACAAGAGAAUGGAAGCCAUCAUAAAGCAACCCAGAUAAGAAGCAACACUAUUCAUGGAAGACUAACACAAGAAUUAAAAAAUAUCUGCUUUUUUGGAGGCGGGAGGAAUCACGCAAGCAAUGCCAUAAAAAGCCAUUAUUGAAGAUUAACGGGAGGAAUAACGUAAGCAAUGACGUAAAAAGCCAUUAUUGAAGACACCUAAUGACGUAAUCAAUGACGUAAAAAGCCAUUAUUGAAGACACCUGUCUUUUCAAUGUGGAAGGGAUUAUUAUAUUUUUAAUUAUGUAAAGUGUUGGUAGAAUUAUUUGUAUUGUCGGUAGGANAAUUAUUAAGUGUCGGUUGUAUUAUUUGUGAUGUAACAUAAAGUGUGAAACCCUCAAUAGUCUAGGGGGCUAUAAUGUAAAUAUGUAUGUCGUAUUGCAAUCAAACGAUUGCAACAAUAAUUGUAACCGGCUCUCUUGAGCCUAUAAAUAGGGUUUUCGCAUAUAUGAAAUAAACAAGUUAAGUUUGAGUGUUUGAGACUUGAGUUGAUCUCAAUUGUCUUCUAUGUUGAAAUAGUUGUUCUAUUUCUGAAUAGUAGAGUUCUAUCCAAAUUAUCCACAUAAUCAUCCAAAUAUUCAACAUAAUCCAUCAUCAAUAUAAUCCACCGCAUCAUUUAGGUAUAAUCUUAUCUUAAUCUUUCUUAAUUCCGUCAUGUUGUUAAAUUUGGUAUCAGAGCAAUUAAUCCAUCAUCAUGUUAUUUUAAAUUUGGUAUAAGAGCUAAGUAACGUUCUUACUAUUAUUUUGAAUAUUAAAUCUUUCAUUCAUAUGAAUAUAUGUUCAUCAUGCAUCAUCAUAUAUAUUCUUAUAAAUAUUCAUCGUUACAGACAUUCAUCGUUAUAAGUUAUAAACUCAUUAUUAAAAUCAAAUAUUAUUAUCCACCUACAAUUUAAACAUAUGUCGGUAGAAGUUUUUUUACAAUUAUGACUAUGUACCAAGAAGUUAGAAACACAUUUCAUAUGUCAAAAAAGUUUUUAAUUCUCUGACUGCAUCAUAAAUAUAAUAGUAUUAAAAAACCCCACCAUCAACAUCUUAUUAGAAUUUAUAAAUCGUAACUUUGAAAAAAAAAUAUAAUAAAUAAAUAAAUUAUCAUUUUGUUUCUAAAAAUUAUAAUCAUAAGUUUUUCAAGUUUAAAUAUUAACAAAUAAAAAAUCUUGAAGCUGUUGAUGAAGAUGGCUUAGGGCCAUACAUAAAGUUAAAAUACUAUAGGAGUAUUUUAGAACGCUAAAAGAUUCACACUAAUCCCAGAAUCAUAAUCAGAAGAUAAGAAUCAAACAAGAAUUAAAAUACCAUACGGGUAUUUUAGGACACAUAAACAACCUUGCGUGAAUAACUAAAAAGAUCCUUAUUGAUAUACCUACAACUACAGAGGGUAUACUCCCAAGGUUAUAUAUAAUAAGGAUCCCAUAGGCUAAGAAUGUGUGGUUUCGCCCUAUUUCCUUUUCCUCGUUAGGAUGUGGAUCUAGAGUAGUAUCACAUAUUCGAAGGCCUAUCGGAUCUAAGCUAUAUAUGAUUUGUAUACCCUGUGUAAUCGUAGCAGGACUCGAUAUGGAUCAUACAGUAAAAUGUUAAUAAUCUCUUAGGAUUAUUUAGACAUUUCCAUUCUCGCGCGAACCCUGUAGAAAAACCCACUUCAGUGCUUGACAGAAGAGUUGAUUCCGACCCCGAGGAGGUUCAUCGAGAAGAUUUCCUGUUCGGAAAUAAAUGAACUGGGUCGAGACUAUUGAAUGCACCAAGUGCCCGUAUUCUUUUAGGGACAUUGGUGAGAAAUUUGCCUAAACUUCCGAGAUUCCAGUCAUCCAUCAUGAAGCGGUGACACCCAGAGUCGGAAUCAGAAGGAAGGCGGAGUAGAAAUUCAAUAUGUCCAUACGAGAAGAGAACCCUAGGAAACUACCCGAAGGAAACCAACGUCGGUUCCAGUCAAAGAUACGGGGAAGACCGAGGGAGCCAGUAUAUGGAACCCGGGAAUUGUCUUUUCCUCGUAUUCGUCACGAUAAUUCACCCUUAAAAUGAUACAAUUUAGUGAGUUAGUGGUUACACUACUCACGCUAUGUGUUAGGUAAAUCGUCGUUUCCCGUUGCCAGAUACACGAUUAGGGCGGAUCCCCGCAUCUCUAUUGAGAGAAUUUUAGCCAUCUGCCCUUGUGAGCCUCUCUUUCCGCAGUUUCGUUCCGAACCGUUCUCAAAUCUCUCCAGGCCGGAGAGUGAAACCUUUUCCAGUAUAAAGGUAACUUAGUAGGAACGACUCGCAUCUUAUGGCCUUUUUCCGAUACUCAUACACCCACUUCGAUUACCAGGACUACAUCAUAGGGAUGUAGGUCGACACUCAGACGAUCAGUACCCAAGGCACGGGAAAAGUUUAUGCCUACUACGUUCAGGACAGAAAUGUCCAGGGUUAACCAUCGUCUCUCAUUAUCUUCUAUUCCUUUCCGUGUAGGAAAACCAUGCCACCGAAGAAGCGUAACCAAUCCACAAGCAAGAAACCUGCUCUCUUAUUCGAUGAAGCUACGUUCCAAGCUGCAGUCUCAGCAGUCGUAGCAGCUGUCAUGGCUCACCUGAAUGCUAACACCGCCAAUGUUAGCAAGGGCCCUGUCGGGAUUUCCAAUCCUGGCAAUGGACAGCAGCAACCAACACUUUCAUACCCAGUCACCCAAGAACCUUCACCGAACCCACUAAAGAGAAAACUCAAGAUUGAGGAGGGAAGUACCUCGGCUCAAGGACCUUCCGAAGGGCAACGAGCUGAGGCAGUCUAUACCCCUGUCAAUCCUUCCCUCCCGACCUCAAGAAGACCAUACCUAGGAGACCUUCCCCACUGCAGCAAGUGCAGCUACCAUCAUCAUGGUGCCUGUCGGGAACUCUAUUGUGCUAGGUGCAACAUGAAGGGACAUACUGCUCGCGUAUGCAGAACUCCGGUGGAGCGUAUUACAUCAACCACCAAUGUGGCGACACGUGCAGUUUGCCACCUAUACGGUGAAGUGGGACACUUCAAGAAGGACUGCCCAACCGGAGGGAAAGACAAAGACACAGAAGGAGCCUGACACUACUGCUUAGGGAGAAGCGGCAAGGAACUCAUUAGAUUUUGGUACGUCUCUCGAUCUCGAAUAACAAAUCUAAGAACAAUAAAAGACUAAUUCAAAUGUAAAUUCUUCCUAGUAAGGCAAAAGUCGCAGCACUGCUAUAAAAUUUAAAAUUCAUUAGGUAAAACUAUAAUGGCUAAACAUAUACGUUACGACCAUGUAUAUUUAAGAUGGACAGACCUAGAGUGAGCGAAUGCCGCCUCAUUUCCUGUUUCUCGUUUGGUUGUGGAUUUAGGGCGGGGUCGCUCAGUCAACAGUCCUCCCCACCUUAAAUAUACAUGACUAGUAUAUGUGAGGCGAUUAUAGAAAUGCCUCGUGAGAAUCCGUUCAUGAAAAGAUACUCUAUUCGGAAACACUUAGGACUCUCUGUAGUUCUGCGUCGACUCUAUCGGUCCAAGUAUCCGCGGUAGUGAUACAUAGGACGAAACCCGAGACGCCUAGAACUUGUGUGCCUGUUCGGCACAUGACUCUAUCGAUCUUCACUUUACAUCAUGUCGGAGUGUGCCAACUUCGACGACUCUAUUGAUCAUGGUUUGACUUCGUGCAACCAUGUGUACAUUCUUAGUGUUGUGUAAAAGAACUUUCUCCAUAGCCAUGUCGGCAAAUAAAGGUUCUUCCGAACCUAAACCUAACUCAAAUAAUCAAACAUAAUGCGAUCCGUCAAUCGUUCCCCUUAUCUCAAACCUUCCGAAGUACCCAAGGGAGGGUACCGUACACUGUGACCGACCCCUCGUAGUCAGAUAAACACCGAAGCGAAAGGCACUGCAGAUACUCUAAGAAGACGACCACCAUCCGAAGCAUACUCCGUAGAAUCCCCCGAGAGACCCUUCGCACCUCGCACAUCAGGUUCGUGAACCCAGAGAAUAGAACUCAUAAGGCUGACCACUAUAACCAGGUAUACUGUUGGCAUACAUCAAGUAUUGGCGGUUAAGCCAAGCAUGAGCUCUACCACGGACCUCUUCGCAAAACACUCUCACCCUAUUCCAUAACAUAGGAGUCGGAGUCAAGAGAAUCACUGCGAGUUGAGCCAGUAAAUUUCCGAGUGAUGAAGACUCUAUACCCACUAGCUUUGACCUAGACCGAGAAAACUCAGAACCUUCGGAAGAGUAGUUGCAGUAGAUGCUCGCACUACUCAUGCACCUCGUCCACCCAGUUAUAGACAAGUGGUGCUUAUCAUCCUCCACCCUCUCGCAAGGAGGAAAUCGUCGUCGCCCUGUUGACGAUGAAUUACACUUUCCGAAUUGAACACUAGGAUACCGAGAACCACAGGAUAACCUUCGCAGCCAAGAAUACUUGGCCAUGUACGAAAGUAGUUACGUUAAGCCUCUUGACCCAUAUCCCAAAGAGAUCAUAGGCUUGACACCAGCCCUGGUGUUAGUCGAAGGGUUAUGCUGGAACAUGCACUUUCCACGCUAGAAUAAACCACAGUCUUAGAGAUUCCUUGAACUAUUAGGUGUUCCAUGAAUACUAUCUCACGCUGAGAUAGAAGAACCACCUCCCAAGAUAGUCCAACACUCGUCUAGUGAAACCCUAUCUCCACGACCCUCAGGGUUUUCGUAUCUCAAGCAUCGUUAGUGCAGGUCCAUUUUGCACGAGUUUGGGAUAGACCCUCUAUAGCAAAUCGAUAACCAUAGUCACGCAACCCACUCGACGAUCUAGAAAGUCUCUAUCAGCCAGUUGACAGGAAACGCGAAACCAAAGAGCACUUGAGAUUUCUAAGAACCAACCUGAAGGACUACACACACAGUACGAGUGAGAACGUUAGGAACUUCGGAAUGGCGAUCACACCAGUGAUGAUCUUGCCAUAGAAGUACACUAUGUACUUAGUACUGAAAAGCUCUACCCAUUCUGAGAGCUUAGGACCAUAUGAGAAUCCUUAUGGAGAUUUGGUCCAACCCUUUUCAGGCCGCUACUACCUUCGGAUACCCCGCAAGCUUCACACCUGAUCGAUCCACUCCUUAGACUUGAUACGUGAUUUCCCGACAACACUCUUCAUGCCUCACUCAUCUUGAUAUAAUCCAUUGAGAACCCUAACCUUGUAGAUACACCAGUUGGAACCCACUAGCUACACUAGACGGAAUCCGCAUCCCGUACGUGAAGGUCUGUCGGAAUGACAAACACAGACUGGAGUUCACUUGGGAAUGCGAGGACAACCGUAUAGGAAGUACUAUCUUACCUCUACUUGGCCAUUCAUACCUACUUCCUUGCUUAGACUUGAAUUUCGGGACGAAAUUCCCUCUAACGGGGGGAUGAUGUGACAACCCAAGUUGUCCCGUUACAUUUCCCCGUUACCGUUAACGGAAUAUUCCACUGUAUAAAAGUUCCGUUAAUUAGAGGGCGUCAAUUUAGUAAACAUUCCAUUUGUUUACAUUUAACAUGCCGUUAAGUCGUGAUAAAAGAAAAUAAAAACUCGUAUUACACAUUUCCAUUUAGUUGGAAAAGUUAGUUUUUAUUAUUACGACCACUAAAUCGGGUGCGACCAAAAGCCCCGUUUAACGGCAGUAUUGGGUAGAAUUCCACUGAGCCCCGACCCGGAACCCUAUAUAAGGGUGAGUGGAGUCCAUUUGGAGACUUUUUACCCUCUCUCUCUAUACUCUCUCUCUAGACUCGUUUUCGCCUCGAAUCCGCAACCAAACGCUUCCAAAUUGUAAGUCCGCUUACCCUAGCCUAUUCUAAACAUAUUGAUUCAUGUUUAUAGCUUAGAAAUCGAACCUAGAAGCUGUUGAAAAGGAGUUUACGACCUAAGCUCCUCCUUAGGCCGUAAACACCUAAAAUGAGGCCAAAAUGACCCCCAAAAGUCCCCAAAAGCUUGGAACUAAAUAUGGGAAUUAGCCUAGGAGUGUUUGCACAUUUAAAACAAUCAUUUUGAGGCCUAAAAGAGAGUUUACGGCCCAGGCAUAUGCCAAGGCCGUAAACACCUCUAAACUAAGUCAAAAUGCCUCCAAAACACUCCUACACCACCCUAGGAUUUAACACAUAAAUUAGGGGCUUAUUCUCUUGGGUUUAGAUCACUUAAACAUUAAGAAUUGGAGGAUUAAUAGGAGUUUACGGCCCAGACAUGUGUCAAGGCCGUAAACUCCCCAAACCAAGCCAAAAUGUUGGUUUUUGUCCCCCAAAUGGCCUUAGACAUUGACCAUAAAAUACUAGGAUUGAAUUAAGGGCUUAAACACAAGAAAUGGAGGGAUAAAAAGGAGUUUACGGCCCAAGCAAGUUUCUAGGCCGUAAACUCCCCAAAACACAUCCAAAUGAUGGUUUUAAUCCCCCAAAAUGGCAUCACACUCCAUUAGAAAUUGCUAGAAAGGUAAUAGGGGCUUAAAACUUCACUUAACUCUAAGAUUGAGAGUUUACGGUCGUAAACUCCUAUAAGGUUCCCUUAUAAGCCUUAAAACACUCAUGCCUUUUAUGAAAAGUACUUAGAAAAAUCCCAUGAACAAGCUAGAAGCCUUAAACACACUAGAACCCUUCACCAUGAGUUUACGGCCGUAAACUCAUGGUGAGUAGUCCCUGGGCCGUAAACAUGGUAUUAAGGGUUUACUCUUGGAGAGUAAACUCCAUUCCUAAGCCACACACACCUUUAGACGCUACCCGGGACACCCAAACACUUAUCCAAAGUGUUUUCCGCUCCUUUGAGCGCGUAUAUUUGUUUAAUUAGUAUUAAAUAUACUAAUUGUAUGUGAACAUAUGUUAUCAUAUGUUAAAUAGGUCAUUGUGUGUGUUCGAGUCCUUGCGUGACACCGAACGCCCAAACGGCACCUUCGUCGGACCUACUUACACCAGGUGAGUUCAUACCCCUGAAUGAACCUUUUAAAUGUUUUUACAUGUUUUAUAGGGGGGAAUACAAGUUAAACAUGCCAGUUAUCAUAUCAAUCACAUGUGAUUGAUAACCCGCAUGCACAAGAUUUUACCACACUGUACACUGUUUUACCGAGUAGGACACUAUAAUGGUUUUCAAAAAGGUUUUUCGUUUGUUUCAAGACUCUUAUUUAUACUGCUUUAUUUAAAACUCACUUUAAACUGGUUUAUAAAGGUUUUACAAGAUUUUAAUCAAAGUUCUCUUUCACAACGUAUACUUUUACUUGUUUGUUACUGCUGCUUCGCUUUUACUUAUUUAAAACUCCUACUUGAUAACGCAUUUCCUUCGUGAUACGCUUAUACCGGUUAUUGUCUCUAUAUCGCUUAUACUUGUAGCCACUUAUACUUGAUAGACGCUUUUACUUCACCAGUUGUCGUUUCCACUUCGUGAUACACUUAUACUUGGUACACUUAUACUUCACGAUUCGAUUAUCCCACACUGUACGCUUAUACUUCACGACUCGGAUAUUCCACUGUACGCUUAUACUUCACGACUCGGAUAUUCCACUGUACGCUUAUACUUCACAAGUCGGUUAUUCCACACUGUACACUUAUACUUCACGAUAUGAUUCCACUUGAUACACACUCAAGCGUAGUUAGAUGUAUGUCUGUGCUUGUAUAGAUGCAUAUAAAUAAUGAUUGAAGGACUUAGGAAGGCUUGUCCGCCCUAUUUCCUUUUCUUCGUUGAGAUGUGGUCUGGUGGGAUCGGAUGUCCAUCCGAAGGUCGUUUGAUUCAUUAGUUAUAUAUUAUGUACACAAGCAUAGACAUAUGGGUUUACUUUAGUCAAUUCAGUUAUGAGUCUCUACCUCUAGUUCAGCACUUACAUUAGAAACCCACUAUUUGGAAGUCUCUACCCACUAUUUGGGAUGCAUCUUCAGGACACGGCCUUCUCCGUCGUCUAGUUGGUAACCAGAGUCUCCUGUAGGGAGAGCGGACAUUGUGUGUAUAGAUCUAUACGGGAUUGACACCCCCGCACCCUGACUGCUAGCUACAGUCCACGGCCUACCAAGCCAAGGGGUGACAAAUGUCAUAUUCUCUAGACGCUUGUAGGGCGUCUGGUUCUCUAGUGUCGAUUAGUAUGGUUACGAGUAUCCCAGGUUUCCUUAUAAUUCAUGGUCUUAAGGUAACGGUAUUCACCGACAAUUUACACUGUAUGCUGGUAACUCAUUUUCAGAGUCACACUGUUUUGACCUUGCGAAAUGUAUCCUUCAUUUGAUACUGUCUGCGGUCUGUAUUCUCUGUUUUGACCUUGCAAGAUGUAUCUUUCAUUUGAUACUGUCUGUGGUCUGUAUUCUCCGUUUUGACGUUGCAAGAUGCAUCUAUCGUUUGAUACUGUCUGCGGUCUGUAUUCACUGUUUUAGACCCUUCCAGCUGUACCUUUCAUUUGGUACCUUAUGGGGUCUGUGUGUUCUUUUGUUAGGCUGAACCAGGCGUGUCGUUCGUUCGAUAUUCUCCUGGAGUAUAUGAUUCCUUUGCCUUAGUCAGCAGUCCUCACUGUUCUGGCAUAUGUAUUUUCCCUGACUUCUCUUGCUUUCUUUAAUAAUCAAAUUCUGUAUUUUGAUAAUGAUAGGGAUUAAGGGAAAACUACUUUUUACCACACUAACUCCGUCCAGUCUUGGUAGAAGACUGCUUUAUUUAAAGAAAAUAUAGGAUUUUCUUGAAAGUACUCUAAUACACUGUAAAUUCUUAAACUACCACAUUAUAAAGUUAUUUGGAUAAAAAGUCACUAAAUGCUUACGAACUCACCAGCAUUUGUAAAAAUGCUGAUACUCGCUUUUCAAAUAACUUGUAUUCUCAGGUUAGCAUUAGACAGGUACAUCCCCAGAGUUGUUGAUGAAAAUAGCUUAGUACCAUGUCAUACUUAAUUAUAUUUACUUGUAUUACUUUGAUGUAUUGUAAUGUAACCAUGUAAAAUUAUUACUAUUUAUGCAAUGUUUUGUUGUACUUUGAUUAUUAAAUGCAUGUGUUGUGAUACUUGACAUGACAUCAUCCACCCCAGAACGUUUCCGCCGUUCCGGUUUUGGGGUGUGACAGAUUGGUAUCAGAGCCUUGUUUAUAGUGAGCUAAGUAUAUCAAUUCAUAAAAGAUAUACAGCCUAUAAAUACAAAGGGAUAAAACACUCUGACCAAGAAUUAUACUUUAAAAUAUAACCAUAUUUUACCAAAGUAUAAUAACAUCCAAAACCUAAACACUCGAACAAAAGUAUCACAAGAAGAACAAUAAUAAGAGUCAUCGGAUGUUGAGCACUACAGUCAAACCUGGGCAGUUAUGUAAUCGUAAGCUGGGAUAAAUGUAACCUAAUCAACUACAUUUAUCCGAGAUGCGAUGAACGUGUGCUCGGGAGUGAUAGUGGUGUACAACAGGUCUGAAACUUACCAACUAGGAUUUGCUAGAGCCAUACAUAAAGUUAAAAUACUAUAGGAGUAUUUUAGAACGCUAAAAGAUUCACACUAAUCCCAGAAUCAUAAUCAGAAGAUAAGAAUCAAACAAGAAUUAAAAUACCAUACGGGUAUUUUAGGACACAUAAACAACCUUGCGUGAAUAACUAAAAAGAUCCUUAUUGAUAUACCUACAACUACAGAGGGUAUACUCCCAAGGUUAUAUAUAAUAAGGAUCCCAUAGGCUAAGAAUGUGUGGUUUCGCCCUAUUUCCUUUUCCUCGUUGGGAUGUGGUUCUAGAGUAGUAUCACAAAUUCGAAGGCCUAUCGGAUCUAAGCUAUAUAUGAUUUGUAUACCCUGUGUAAUCGUAGCAGGACUCGAUAUGGAUCAUACAGUAAAAUGUUAAUAAUCUCUUAGGAUUAUUUAGACAUUUCCAUUCUCGCGCGAACCCUGUAGAAAAACCCACUUCAGUGCUUGACAGAAGAGUUGAUUCCGACCCCGAGGAGGUUCAUCGAGAAGAUUUCCUGUUCGGAAAUAAAUGAACUGGGUCGAGACUAUUGAAUGCACCAAGUGCCCGUAUUCUUUUAGGGACAUUGGUGAGAAAUUUGCCUAAACUUCCGAGAUUCCAGUCAUCCAUCAUGAAGCGGUGACACCCAGAGUCGGAAUCAGAAGGAAGGCGGAGUAGAAAUUCAAUAUGUCCAUACGAGAAGAGAACCCUAGGAAACUACCCGAAGGAAACCAACGUCGAUUCCAGUCAAAGAUACGGGGAAGACCGAGGGAGCCAGUAUAUGGAACCCGGGAAUUGUCUUUUCCUCGUAUUCGUCACGAUAAUUCACCCUUAAAAUGAUACAAUUUAGUGAGUUAGUGGUUACACUACUCACACUAUGUGUUAGGUAAAUCGUUGUUUCCCGUUGCUAGAUACACGAUUAGGUUGGAUCCCCGCAUCUCUAUUGAGAGAAUUUUAGCCAUCUGCCCUUGUGAGCCUCUCUUUCCGCAGUUUCGUUCCGAGCCGUUCUCAAAUCUCUCCAGGCCGGAGAGUGAAACCUCUUCCAGUAUAAAGGUAACUUAGUAGGAACGACUCGUAUCUUAUGGCCUUUUUCCGAUACUCAUACACCCACUUCGAUUACCAGGACUACAUCAUAGGGAUGUAGGUCGACACUCAGACGAUCAGUACCCAAGGCACGGGAAAAGUUUAUGCCUACUACAUUCAGGACAGAAAUGUCCAGGGUUAACCAUCGUCUCUCAUUAUCUUCUAUUCCUUUCCAUGUAGAAAAAAAAGCCAUGCCACUGAAGAAGCGUAACCAAUCCACAAGAAAGAAACCUACACUCUUAUUUGAUGAAGCUACGUUCCAAGCUGCAGUCUCAGCAGCCAUAGCAGCUGUCAUGGCUCACCUGAAUGCUAACACCGCCAAUGUUAGCAAGGGCCCUGUCGGGAUUUCCAAUCCUGGCAACGGACAACAACAAACAACACUUUCAUACCCAUUCAUCCAAGAACCUUCACUGAACCCACUAAAGAGAAAACUCAAGAUUGAGGAGGGAAGUACCUCGGCUCAAGGACCUUCCGAAGGGCAACGAGCUGAGGCAGACCAUACCCCUGUCAAUCCUUCCCUCCCGACCUCAAGAAGACCAUACCUAGGAGACCUUCCCCACUGCAACAAGUGCAGCUACCAUCAUCAUGGUGCCUGUCGGGAACUCUAUUGUGCUAGGUGCAACAUGAAGGGACAUACUGCUCGCGUAUGCAGAACUCCGGUGGAGCGUAUUACAUCAACCACCAAUGUGGCGACACGUGCAGUUUGCCACCAAUGCGGUGAAGUGGGACACUUCAAGAAGGACUGCCCAACCGGAGGGAAAGACAAAGACACAGAAGGAGCAUGACACUACUGCUUAGGGAGAAGCGGCAAGGAACUCAUUAGAUUUUGGUACGUCUCUCGAUCUCGAAUAACAAAUCUAAGAACAAUAAAAGACUAAUUCAAAUGUAAAUUCUUCCUAGUAAGGCAAAAGUCGCAGCACUGCUAUAAAAUUUAAAAUUCAUUAGGUAAAACUAUAAUGGCUAAACAUAUACGUUACGACCAUGUAUAUUUAAGAUGGACAGACCUAGAGUGAGCGAAUGCCGCCUCAUUUCCUGUUUCUCGUUUGGUUGUGGAUUUAGGGCGGGGUCGCUCAGUCAACAGUCCUCCCCACCUUAAAUAUACAUGACUAGUAUAUGUGAGGCGAUUAUAGAAAUGCCUCGUGAGAAUCCGUUCAUGAAAAGAUACUCUAUUCGGAAACACUUAGGACUCUCUGUAGUUCUGCGUCGACUCUAUCGGUCCAAGUAUCCGCGGUAGUGAUACAUAGGACGAAACCCGAGACGCCUAGAACUUGUGUGCCUGUUCGGCACAUGACUCUAUCGAUCUUCACUUUACAUCAUGUCGGAGUGUGCCAACUUCGACGACUCUAUUGAUCAUGGUUUGACUUCGUGCAACCAUGUGUACAUUCUUAGUGUUGUGUAAAAGAACUUUCUCCAUAGCCAUGUCGGCAAAUAAAGGUUCUUCCGAACCUAAACCUAACUCAAAUAAUCAAACAUAAUGCGAUCCGUCAAUCGUUCCCCUUAUCUCAAACCUUCCGAAGUACCCAAGGGAGGGUACCGUACACUGUGACCGACCCCUCGUAGUCAGAUAAACACCGAAGCGAAAGGCACUGCAGAUACUCUAAGAAGACGACCACCAUCCGAAGCAUACUCCGUAGAAUCCCCCGAGAGACCCUUCGCACCUCGCACAUCAGGUUCGUGAACCCAGAGAAUAGAACUCAUAAGGCUGACCACUAUAACCAGGUAUACUGUUGGCAUACAUCAAGUAUUGGCGGUUAAGCCAAGCAUGAGCUCUACCACGGACCUCUUCGCAAAACACUCUCACCCUAUUCCAUAACAUAGGAGUCGGAGUCAAGAGAAUCACUGCGAGUUGAGCCAGUAAAGUUCCGAGUGAUGAAGACUCUAUACCCACGAGCUUUGACCUAGACCGAGAAAACUCAGAACCUUCGGAAGAGUAGUUGCAGUAGAUGCCCGCACUACUCAUGCACCUCGUCCACCCAGUUAUAGACAAGUGGUGCUUAUCAUCCUCCACCCUCUCGCAAGGAGGAAAUCGUCGUCGCCCUGUUGACGAUGAAUUACACUUUCCGAAUUGAACACUAGGAUACCGAGAACCACAGGAUAACCUUCGCAGCCAAGAAUACUUCGCCAAGUACGAAAGUAGUUGCGUUAAGCCUCAUGACCCAUAUCCCGAAGAGAUCAUAGGCUUGACACCAGCCCUGGCGUUAGUCGAAGGGUUAUGCAGGAACAUGCACUUUCCACGCUAGAAUAAACCACAGUCUUAGAGAUUCCUUGAACUAUUAGGUGUUCCACGAAUACUAUCUCACGCAGAGAUAGAAGAACGUUUCCGCCGUUCCGGUUUUGGGGUGUGACAGUUAGAAACGCAUUUCAUAUGUCAAAAAGUUUUUAAUUCUCUGACUGCAUCAUAAAUAUAAUAGUAUUAAAAAACCCCACCAUCAACAUCCUAUUAGAAUUUAUAAAUCAUAACUUUGAAAAAAAAUAUAAUAAAUAAAUAAAUUAUCAUUUUGUUUCUAAAAAUUAUAAUCAUAAGUUUUUCAAGUUUAAAUAUUAACAAAUAAAAAAUCUUGAAAAUAAAAUAACAAGAAUAAAUUAUUAAAUAUGUCUCAAGAAAUAGAAAAUACACCAAUCAUUAUUAAUAACGAAGAAAAUGAAUCGGGAUACACAUUUGAUGCUCUAAUUAUUAAAAAUAAUAUUAAUAAAGAUGCUAUAAGAAAAUCAAAUUUUACACUAUCAGAAAAACAUAAUUUUAGAUAUUACUCAUUAAGAGAAGAUUAUACAUUAAUGAUGCGGUGGAUUAUAUUGAUGAUGGAUUAUGUUGAAUGAUUGGAUGAUUGUGUGGAUAAUUUGGAUAGGGCUCUGCUAUUCAGAAAUAGAACAACUAUUUCAACAGAGAAAACAAUUGAGAUCAACUCAAGUCUUAAACACUCAAACUUAACCUGUUUAUUUCAUAUGGGCAAAGGCCCUAUUCAAAGGAUCAAGAGAGUCGGUUACAAUUAUUGUUGCAAUCGUUUGAUUGCAAUACGACAUACAUAUUUACAUUAUAGCCCCCUAAACUAUUGAGGGUUACACACUUUAUGUUACAUCACAAAUAAUACAACCGACACUUAAUAAUUAUCNAAAAAAAACACCCGACACUUAAUAAUUAUCCUACCGACACUUCUAUUGAAUUACGUAAAAAUAACAAUCCUUUAUUUAAGACACGUGUCCUUUCAACGUGGAAGGGAUUGUUAUUUUUACGUAAUUAAAUAGAAGUGUCGGUAGGAUAAUUAUUAAGUGUCGGUUGUAUUAUUUGUGAUGUAACAUCAAGUGUGUAACCCUCAAUAGUCUAGUGGGCUAUAAUGUAAAUAUGUAUGUCGUAUUGCAAUCAAAUGAUUGCAACAAUAAUUGUAACCGACUCUCUUGAGCAUCAAAAGUGUAUCCCACUUCAUUUUCUUCGUUAUUAAUCAGGAUUUGUGUAUUUUCUUUUUCUUGAGACAUAUUUAAUAAAUUAUUCUUGUUAUUUUAUCUUCAAGAUUUUUUAUUUGUUAAUAUUUAAACAUGAAGAACUCAUGAUUAUAAUUUUUAGAAACAAAAUGAUGAUUUAUUUUUUCUUUAAAAGUUACGAUUUAUAAAUUCUAAUAAGAUGUUGAUGGUGGGGUUUUCUAAUACUAUUAUAUUUAUGAUGCAGUUAGAGAAUUAAAAACCUCUUUGACAAAUCAAAUAUGUUUCUAACUUCUUGGUACAUAGUCAUAAUUAUAAAAAACCUUCUACCGACAUAUGUUUAAAUUGUAGGUGGAUAGUAGUAUUUAAUUUUAAUAAUGAGUUUAUGAUAAUAACUUAUAACGACGAAUGUUUGUAACGAUAAAUAUUUAUAAGAAUAUAUAUGAUGAUGCAUGAUGAACAUAUAUUCAUAUGAACGAAAGACUUAAUAUUCAAAAUAAUAGUAAGAACGUUACUUAGCUGUGAUACCAAAUUUAAAAUAACAUGACGACGGAUUAAUUGCUCUCAUACCAAAUUUAAAGACAUGACGGAAUUAAUAAAGAUUAAGAGAAGAUUAUACAUAAAUGAUGCGCUGGAUUAUAUUGAUGAUGGAUUAUGUUGAAUAAUUAGAUGGUUAUGUGGAUAAUUUGGAUAGAACUCUGCUAUUUAGAAAUAGAACAACUAUUUCAACAGAGAAGACAAUUGAGAUCAACUCAAGUCUUAAACACUCAAACUUAACUUGUUUAUUUCAUUUGGGCAAAGGCCCUAUUUAUAGGCUCAAGAGAGCCGGUUACAAUUAUUGUUGCAAUCGUUUGAUUGCAAUACAACAUACAUAUUUAUAUUAUAGCCCCCUAGACUAUUGAGGGUUACACACUUUAAGUUUGGCAAUUACAAUUACAUCAAUUUCACCCAUACCUCAAGUAUAUCAAAAGUGCCAAAACCCAUAUAGCAGACACACUAACAAGAGAAUGGAAGCCAUCAUAAAGCAACCUAGAUAAGAAGCAACACAAUUCAUUGAAGACUAACCCAUGAAUUAAAAAAUAUCUGCUUUUUCUGAGGCGGGAGGAAUGACGCAAGCAAUGACAUAAAAAGCCAUUAUUGAAGAUUAACGGGAGGAAUACCGUAAGCAAUGACGUAAAAAUCCAUUAUUGAAGACACCUAAUGACGUAAGCAAUGACGUAAAAAGCCAUUAUUGAAGACACCUGUCUUUUCAAUGUGGAAGGGCUUAUUAUAUUUUUAAUUAUGUAAAGUGUUGGUAGAAUUAUUUGUAUUUGUCGGUAGGAUAAUUAUUAAGUAUCGGUUGUAUUAUUUGUAAUGUAACAUAAAGUGUGUAACCCUUAAUAGUCUAGGGGGCUAUAAUGUAAAUAUGUUUGUCGUAUUGCAAUCAAACGAUUGCAACAAUAAUUGUAACCAGCUCUCUUGAGCCUAUAAAUAGGGUCUUUGCCCAUAUGAAAUAAACAAGUUAAAUUUGAGUGUUUAAGACUUGAGUUGAUCUCAAUUUUCUUCUCUGUUGAAAUAGUUGUUCUAUUUCUGAAUAGCAGAGUUCUAUCCAAAUUAUCCACAUAAUCAUCCAAUUAUUCAACAUAAUCCAUCAUCAAUAUAAUCCACCACAUCAUUCAGGUAUAAUCUUAUCUUAAUCUUUCUUAAUUCCGUCAUGUUAUUAAAUUUGGUAUCAGAGCAAUUAAUCCGUCAUCAUGUUAUUUUGAAUUUGGUAUCAGAGCUAAGUAACGUUCUUACUAUUAUUUUGAAUAUUAAAUCUUUCAUUCAUAUGAUAUAUGUUCAUCAUGCAUCAUCAUAUAUAUUCUUAUAAAUAUUCAUCGUUACAAACAUUCAUCGUUAUAAGUUAUAAACUCAUUAUUAAAAUCAAAUAUUAUUAUCCACCUACAAUUUAAACAUAUGUCGGUAGAAGUUUUUUUUACAAUUAUGACUAUGUACCAAGAAGUUAGAAACACAUUUCAUAUGUCAAAAAAGUUUUUAAUUCUCUGACUGCAUCAUAAAUACAAUAGUAUUAAAAAACCCCACCGUCAACAUCUUAUUAGAAUUUAUAAAUCGUAACUUUGAAAAAAAAAAUAUAAUAAAUAAAUAAAUUAUCAUUUUGUUUCUAAAAAUUAUAAUCAUAAGUUUUUCAAGUUUAAAUAUUAACAAAUAAAAAAUCUUGAAAAUAAAAUAACAAGAAUAAUUUAUUAAAUAUGUCUCAAGAAAUAGAAAAUACACCAAUCAUUAUUAAUAACGAAGAAAAUGAAUCGGGAUACACUUUUGAUGCUCUAAUUAAUAAAAAUAAUAUUAAUAAAGAUGCUAUAAGAAAAUUAAAUUUUACACUAUCUGAAAAACAUAAUUUUAGAUAUAAGUCAUUGAGAGAAGAUUAUACAUGAAUGGUGCGUUGGAUUAUAUUGAUGAUGGAUUAUGUUGAAUGAUUGGAUGAUUAUGUGGAUAAUUUGGAUAGGGCUAUGCUAUUCAGAAAUAGAAUAACUAUUUCAACAAAGAAGACAAUUGAGAUCAACUCAAGUCUUAAACACUCAAACUUAACUUGUUUAUUUCAUAUGGGCAAAUGCCCUAUUCAUAGGCUCAAGAGAGUCGGUUACAAUUAUUGUUGCAAUCGUUCGAUUGCAAUACGACAUACAUAUUUACAUUAUAAUUCCCGAGACUAUUGACGGUUACACACUUUAUGUGACAUCUCAAAUAAUACAACCGACACUUAAUAAUUAUCCCACCGACACUUCUAUUUAAUUACGUAAAAAUAACAAACCUUUAUUUAAGAGACGUGUCCUUUCAACGUGGAAGGGAUUGUUAUUUUUACGUAAUUAAAUAGAAGUGUAGGUAGGAUAAUUAUUAAGUGUCGGUUGUAUUAUUUGUGAUGUAACAUAAAGUGUGUAACCCUCAAUAGUCUAGGGGGCUAUAAUGUAAAUAUGUAUGUCGUAUUGCAAUCAAACGAUUGCAACAAUAAUUGUAACCGGC
Molecule: long non-coding RNA, 19265 nt
Filed under: Lactuca sativa (garden lettuce)
Lineage: Eukaryota; Viridiplantae; Streptophyta; Magnoliopsida; Asterales; Asteraceae
Description: long non-coding RNA (LSAT_LNC009685)
Source: RNAcentral